AGAGUUUGAUCCUGGCUCAGGACGAACGCUGGCGGCGUGCCUAACACAUGCAAGUCGAGCGGGGACUUGUUGAGGAAGUCUUCGGAUGGAAUUGAUAAGUUCUAGCGGCGGACGGGUGAGUAACGCGUGAGCAACCUGCCCUCCACAGGGGGAUAACGCACCGAAAGGUGCACUAAUACCGCAUAAGACCACGGCACUGACAUGGUGCAGGGGUCAAAGGAGCAAUCCGGUGGAAGAUGGGCUCGCGUCUGAUUAGCUAGUUGGUGAGGUAACGGCCCACCAAGGCGACGAUCAGUAGCCGACCUGAGAGGGUGAUCGGCCACAUUGGAACUGAGAGACGGUCCAAACUCCUACGGGAGGCAGCAGUGGGAAUAUUGGGCAGUGGGCGAAAGCCUGACCCAGCAACGCCGCGUGAAGGAAGAAGGUUUUCGGAUCGUAGGGGCAAGCGUUGUCCGGAAUGAUUGGGCGUAAAGGGCGCGUAGGCGGCCAACUAAGUCUGGAGUGAAUGUCCCGCUUUUAAGGUGGGAAUUGCUUUGGAAACUGGAUGGCUUGAGUGCAGGAGAGGUAAGCGGAAUUCCCGGUGUAGCGGUGAAAUGCGUAGAGAUCGGGAGGAUCACCAGUGGCGAAGGCGGCUUACUGGACUGUAACUGACGCUGAGGCGCGAAAGUGUGGGGAGCAAACAGGAUUAGAUACCCUGGUUGUCCACACUGUAAACGAUGAAUGCUAGGUGUAGGGGGUAUCGACCCCUUCUGUGCCGGAGUAAACACAAUAAGCAUUCCGCCUGGGGAGUACGGCCGCAAGGUUGAAACUCAAAGGAAUUGACGGGGGCCCGCACAAGCAGCGGAGCAUGUGGUUUAAUUCGAAGCAACGCGAAGAACCUUACCAGGUCUUGACAUCCAUUAAAAGCCAUAGAGAUAUGGUGUGAGCUUGCUCAUAAUGAGACAGGUGGUGCAUGGUUGUCGUCAGCUCGUGUCGUGAGAUGUUGGGUUAAGUCCCGCAACGAGCGCAACCCUUGUGAUCAGUUACUAACGGGUAGUGCCGAGGACUCUGAUAAGGCUGCCGGGGACAACUCGGAGGAAGGUGGGGACGACGUCAAAUCAUCAUGCCCCUUAUGACCUGGGCUACACACGUGCUACAAUGGCCACUACAGAGAGCAGCGAAUUCGUAAGGAAGAGCAAAUCUCAAAAAAGUGGUCCCAGUUCGGAUUGUGGGCUGCAACCCGCCCACAUGAAGUCGGAGUUGCUAGUAAUCGCGGAUCAGCAUGCCGCGGUGAAUACGUUCCCGGGCCUUGUACACACCGCCCGUCACACCAUGGGAGUUGGUAGCACCCGAAGUCGCUGAGGUAACCGAAAGGAGCCAGGCGCCGAAGGUGAGACCAAUGACUGGGGUGAAGUCGUAACAAGGUA
Molecule: ribosomal RNA, 1406 nt
Filed under: metagenome
Description: bacterial SSU rRNA
Rfam family: Bacterial small subunit ribosomal RNA
Source: RNAcentral